GAGCAAUUUGCCUUGCCUCUAAUUAUGUCGCCGUUUCAGUGGUUUUCUUGAAAUAGUAGCGUAGGGUCGGGAAAAUUAAAACAAAGACAAUUUUCUUGAAAAGUUAAUAAUUUUAUAAGCAGCCAAGGAAAAGUAAUUUAAAUAUGGGUAAAAAUAAAGGAGGAGGUGGUGGAGGCGGCGGCGGCGGUGGUUCCGGUGGUGGUGGUGGCGGCAAUAAAAAAGGCGGAGGAGGUGGUGGUGGCGGCGGCGAUAAAGGAGGUGUCAAGAAUAAGGGUGGCGGUGGCGAUAAAGGUGGCGGCAAAAAAGGUCAAGACCAAAAGGCUGCUGGCGGCGGAGGUGGUGGCAAAAAAGGUGGCAAGAAGUAGCAGCACCAACCAUCCACUCACACAAGUUGGCCAAUUUGUUAUGAUUUCUUUGAGUUGUUAGCUUAAAUUCAAUAUUCUUAUAUUAAUUGUAUAAUUAAUGCAAAUUUUUUUAAUGUGAUUAUAAAGAAUGUGGUGUGAUUUAGAAUGAAUAAAAAGUAUUUUUUAUAA
RNA transcript from Musca domestica (house fly), 533 nucleotides. RefSeq lists it as uncharacterized. The transcript is spliced from 2 exons. The record is from RefSeq and is a predicted model, not a curated record. NCBI's taxonomy places the organism in Eukaryota, Metazoa, Arthropoda, Insecta, Diptera, Muscidae.